Molecule: small nuclear RNA, 118 nt
Filed under: Bemisia tabaci
Lineage: Eukaryota; Metazoa; Arthropoda; Insecta; Hemiptera; Aleyrodidae
Description: U5 spliceosomal RNA
Rfam family: U5 spliceosomal RNA
About the family: U5 RNA is a component of both types of known spliceosome.
Source: RNAcentral
CAACUCUUGGCUCUCUUCAAAUCGUACAAAUCUUUCGCCUUUUACUAAAGAUUUCCGUGGAGAGGGUCAACUAAUGAGUCUAAACCUAAUUUUUGGAAUGCCUGGCGAAAGCGGGCAC